CAGUCGCCGCGGGAAUACCGAGUAUGCAAGCGUUAUCCGGAAUGAUUGGGUGUAAAGCGUCUGUAGGUGGCUUUUCAAGUCCGCCAUCAAAUCCCUGGGCUCAACCCUGGACAGGCAGUGGAAACUACCAAGCUGGAGUACGGUAGGGGCAGAGGGAAUUUCCGGUGGAGAGGUGAAAUGCGUUGAGAUUGGAAAGAACACCAACGGUGAAAGCGCUCUGCUGGGCCGACACUGACACUGAGAGACGAAAUCUAGGGGAGCAAAUGGGAUUAGAUACCCCAGUAGUCCCUGUCUCUUAUAC
This 301-nucleotide ribosomal RNA is filed under the name uncultured bacterium. RNAcentral's name for it is "partial 16S ribosomal RNA". It matches the Rfam family "Bacterial small subunit ribosomal RNA", at positions 509 to 807 of the family's 1533-position model. The record is from RNAcentral.